This 806-nucleotide long non-coding RNA is filed under the name Homo sapiens (human). RNAcentral's name for it is "HSALNT0068550". Lineage: Eukaryota; Metazoa; Chordata; Mammalia; Primates; Hominidae. The record is from RNAcentral.
AGAUAGUUCCUUAUAGCAAUGUGAGAACGGACUAAUACAGAGACUCAAUAAUACUGACCUGGGAAAUGUUAUUGGUUAAAGCUCCAGUGUGGAAAAAGCUCAAGGGUCAACUGGUGAGGGCAAAUCAACCAUACAUUCCCCUGCAAAUUCUUCCCCCUGGGAACCCACAGGGCUGAACUGCCAAGCUCUGGGACCCCCUGGCUUUUGCAGGUGAGCAAAGCAAAUGUGCAUCUGCCAUCUAUGCACUUAGUGUCCCAGAUGUGUCUUCUAGAUCAGGGCUCUGCAACUUGUUCUCUAAAGGGCCAGGUGGUAAAUAUUUUCAGCAUUGUGGGCCACAGGGUCUCUGUUGCAGCUGCUCAGCACUGCAGUUGUAGCAAGAGAACAACCAUAGACUAUACAGAAAUCAACAGGCAUGGCUGGUUUGGCCACAGGCAGAAGUUCUAGAUCCUUGCUACUCACAGCGUGGACCCUGACUUGGUAUUGUCAGCAUGUCCUGGUGCACCCACUGGUCUACAGCUGGCCCUGAUGCACCUGAAUUUCCACUCAUAAGGUAAACCCUAACACAAAUUCUUGCAUGGGAAUGGAUUUCUUUAAUCAGAUUGCUUUCUUGCCAGUACUGGGAGUCGGGGUUCGGAUGAGGGAAGGGUGAAACUCAUUUGGAACUUGGAGAUCACGGAAAGGUGGUUCUGAAGGGGGUGAAUGGGGACUGGGCACGCCACUGGAGGGUAACCCCUGAGAAAACACUGGGACCUGCAGAGGAAAAAGCUCUGGGAAGUGACCGUGGAGCCAAGUGGAAGACAGGAGGG